This is a long non-coding RNA of Sarcophilus harrisii (Tasmanian devil), 481 nucleotides long. RefSeq lists it as uncharacterized. Lineage: Eukaryota; Metazoa; Chordata; Mammalia; Dasyuromorphia; Dasyuridae. The transcript is spliced from 3 exons. The record is from RefSeq and is a predicted model, not a curated record.
UAAUCUGCCCCCAUUAGAACCCAAACCUUAUCAAAAUGAAGACUGAUUGAAGUUGAGCCUUCAAUUUUAUUCCAUAACAUCCAAUACAUGCAAAGUCAAGUUUUCAAAUUAGGAUCAUAGCGUUCUUGGCCUGCAGAAUGUAUUCUCUACUAUACAUUCUUAGUUACUACUCUUAGAAUAUGCUCACUGCCUGGGACUUCUAGCUACUACUGCCAUGAACACACAGGGCAUGUUAGAGAUGACAGGUACAAAGACAUGGCAGGCAUGUCGGAACAUUUUAUAAAUUCCCACAGGAAGAACUGUAUGUGAAGCAGGAAAAGCUGAAUGUUGAGUUCCAGUUCUGCUUACUUGCAAAGUCAUCUAACCUAUGAGUUUCAGAAAGGUGAGAUGUAAGGAGAAGAUAUUCCAAAUAAAAUGAACAAAGGAAAGAAGAUAAGAUUAGUAUGUACAAAGAAAGCUGAAGAACUCAGUUCAGUUAAAG